AACGCACAUUGCGCCCUAUGGUAUUCCGUAGGGCAUGCCUGUUCGAGCGUCAUUCAAACCUUCAAGCUCUGCUUGGUGUUGGGCGUCUGUCCUGCCUCACGGCGCGGACUCGCCUCAAAUCUAUUGGCGGCCGGCACGUUGGCUUCGAGCGCAGCAGAAACGCGAACUCGAGACCGGCGGAUCGGCUCCCAGAAGCUACCCCCCAUGAAUUUGACCUCGGAUCAGGUAGGGAUACCCGCUGAACUUAA
This 248-nucleotide unclassified non-coding RNA is filed under the name uncultured Preussia. Its description in RNAcentral is "sequence contains ITS2". The stretch from base 1 to 52 matches the Rfam family "5.8S ribosomal RNA", at positions 103 to 154 of the family's 154-position model. The record is from RNAcentral. Lineage: Eukaryota; Fungi; Ascomycota; Dothideomycetes; Pleosporales; Sporormiaceae.